UCCUCAUCCGCGAGGGUGGGGAAUCAACCGCUAGGAUCGUUUACUUUGAGGAAAUUAGAGUGUUCAAAGCAGGCGUAACUCGCCUCCGAAUACGUUAGCAUGGGAUAAUGGAAUACGACUUCGGUCUUGUUUCGUUGGUUUCGCUUGGCUGAAGUAAUGAUUGAUAGGGACAGUUGGGGGCAUUAGUAUUUAGUUGUCAGAGGUGAAAUUCUAGGAUUUACUAAAGACUGACCAAUGCGAAAGCAUUUGCCAAGGAUGUUUUCAUUAAUCAAGAACGAAAGUAGGGGGAUCGAAGACGAUCAGAUACCGUCGUAGUCUCUACCGUAAACUAUGCCGACCAGGGAUCCGGAGAGUUUGCAUGGAUGACUCCCCGGGCACCUUGUGAGAAAUCAUAAGUGUUUGGGUUUUGGGGGGAGUAUGGUCGCAAGGCUGAAACUUAAAGGAAUUGACGGAAGGGCACCACCAGGAGUGGAACCUGCGGCUUAAUUUGACUCAACACGGGGAAACUUACGAGGUCAGGACACUGUGAGGAUUGACAGA
Molecule: ribosomal RNA, 540 nt
Filed under: Vermamoeba vermiformis
Lineage: Eukaryota; Tubulinea; Echinamoebida; Vermamoebidae
Description: SSU rRNA
Rfam family: Eukaryotic small subunit ribosomal RNA
Source: RNAcentral